AGUGAACGCUGGCGGUAGGCCUAACACAUGCAAGUCGAACGGCCGCACAGUAAGAGCUCGCUCUUACGGGUGGCGAGUGGCGGACGGGUGAGGCAUACAUCGCCAUCUACUUUUUCGUGGGGGACUACGGGGGGCCACUGCCGCUAAUACCUCAUACGUCCUACCGCUGAAAGCAGGAGUUCUUCGCACUUUUCGCGUUUGAUUUAGCCGGUGUCGGAUUAGCUAGUUGGCGGGGUAAGGGCCCACCAAGGCAACGAUCCGUAGCUGGUCUGAGAGGAUGAUCGGCCACACUGGAACUGAGACACGGUCCAGACUCCUACGGGAGGCAGCAGUAGGGAAUAUUGGGCAAUGGGCGCAAGCCUGAUGGAGCCACGCCGCGUGAGUGAUGAAGGUCUUCGGGUUGUAAAACUCUUUUAUUAGGGAAGAAAAGCUGUAUGAGUAACCCUGGAUGUUCUGACGGUACCUAAUGAGAAAGCAACGGCUAACUUCGUG
RNAcentral lists this ribosomal RNA (492 nucleotides) under uncultured bacterium. RNAcentral describes it as "partial 16S ribosomal RNA". It matches the Rfam family "Bacterial small subunit ribosomal RNA", at positions 29 to 507 of the family's 1533-position model. The record is from RNAcentral.